RNAcentral lists this transfer RNA (71 nucleotides) under Marmota monax (woodchuck). RNAcentral describes it as "tRNA.Ala". The record is from RNAcentral. Lineage: Eukaryota; Metazoa; Chordata; Mammalia; Rodentia; Sciuridae.
GGGGUUGUGGCUCAGUGGUAGAGGGCUCUUCCUGCACAUGUGAGUCACUGGGUUCGAUUCUCAGAACCACA